Small nuclear RNA from Cavia aperea (Brazilian guinea pig), 103 nucleotides. NCBI's taxonomy places the organism in Eukaryota, Metazoa, Chordata, Mammalia, Rodentia, Caviidae. The record is from Ensembl.
GUGCUGUGUCCAUAGCACAGUCAUUAAAAUUGGGAAAAUACAGAGAUUCUUAUGAUCUCUAAGCAGGUAUGGCACUCAAAUUCAUGAAGCAUUCCUCUUUUUU